GACGAACCGCCCGAACGUUGUUCGGAAUCACUGGGCUUAAAGGGAGCGUAGGCGGGCUGCCAAGUCCGGGGUGAAAUCCUCCAGCUUAACUGGAGAACUGCCUCGGAUACUGGAAGUCUCGAGGAGGGUAGGGGCAAGUGGAACCGUGGGUGGAGCGGUGAAAUGCGUAGAUAUCAGGAGGAAUACCGAUGGCGAAGGCAGGUCUCUGGGCUAUAACUGACGCUCAUGCACGAAAGCGUGGGGAGCAAACAGG
This 253-nucleotide ribosomal RNA is filed under the name uncultured bacterium. RNAcentral's name for it is "partial 16S ribosomal RNA". It matches the Rfam family "Bacterial small subunit ribosomal RNA", at positions 524 to 776 of the family's 1533-position model. The record is from RNAcentral.